RNAcentral lists this long non-coding RNA (5277 nucleotides) under Lotus japonicus. Its description in RNAcentral is "long non-coding RNA (LJAP_LNC002096)". Lineage: Eukaryota; Viridiplantae; Streptophyta; Magnoliopsida; Fabales; Fabaceae. The record is from RNAcentral.
GAGGAAAUCAUCCUUCACAAUACCGUAGUGUGGGAAUCCACCCAUUGGGGUAAUCUCCUUCUCAGUCCUGGUUCAGAAAAUAAGUCGGAUUAGUUUGAACCUGAAUGAUAGUCUACUGUGAAACAAACAAUCAGCAUAUUUCUUGCUGUCCAGUGAUUUAUUGCAUGCAAUAAUAAAUAAUCAGCAAGUUUCUCACCUAUCAAACUCAGUAAUGGCUGAGUGCGACUCGUCUCCAGCCUUGCCAAGCCUGUAAAUCUUCUUGUUCAGCUCAGUUCGGUGAUGGUAUCCAUUUUGACCAGCCCUGGCAACAGUGAAAGAAACUCUUGCUGGAUGCCAUGCACCAAUACAAGCAACCUUCCUCAAACCCCUGUGAGUCUUGCGAGGAAGACGGGUAACACCCCAACGGGUCACAACACCCUCAUAACCCUUACCUUUGGUCACCCCAAUGAUGUCAAUCAUCUCAUCCUUCUGGAACACAGCAUCAAUAGGAACCUGUUUCUCGAAGAAACUGUAAGCAAAGUCCACCUUCUGUGCCACAGUCCCACCAUUGACCUGAAUUUCCAUGAUGUGGGCUUUCUUCUGCUUCAACCCUUUCAUUUUUCUGAUCUGUGAGAUUGAUAUACAAUAAUAUUAGAAAUUUAUACCAAAUACACCAAAUAAAUAUAAUUGGAGGUGAUUUAGAAUUUGGCUAACAAUGGUAUUAGUAUUUAAAAUCAUGUAACAUGAAAUGAUAAAUUGAGAGAUAAAACACAAAUGGAAGAAUUUGGAAUUGCCAGGUGAUCUACAGAAACCCAAAACAUUUGCCAUAGAAAAUAUUACAGUUUCAUUUGCCCCUAUAUUUUUCUUGACAGCACAAAAAACAUCAAAAAGAAAUUAAAACAAGAGGGUGUCAGAAAUCUCGUGUGGAAAGUGCCGCUCAUUGCACCAAAUUAAAUGGCACUGCGUUAGCACAAGAACAAGAAUCUCAUCAUUCUCAUCACCCAAAAAACAUAAACGUUUAUAAAACGUAUAGUUAACCUUCAUAACGUAGAACACCCAGAAUAUGAAAUCACUUUGUCAUAGGAAGUACCUGAGUGUGAGCCAACACACGGACAACAGUUGCAUACUUCUUAAUUUUCUCCAACUGUGCCUGAACAUUUUUCUUCCCUUCUUCAGACUCAAACUGCUUGGAGUACUUGGAGAAAGCCUUCUUCUUGGACUUGCACCAGUUCUUAUAGAACCUACGCUUCACUUCCUCACUCAAAUGCUGAGCCCAAACAGUGUUCAAUGUUCGCAUACCACGGGGAGUUUUCACAUAGCCCACAACACCAACAAUAACCAUUGGAGGGGUCUCAAUGAUUGUAACUGGCUCGCAAGUCUCCUUCUUGUGAAGCUCUGUUGCAAAAGAAUUGCGUUAAUGUAAUUUUACAAUAAAAAUGGAUACCAUACAUCGGCUUAUAAUGUUCAUUACAACAAUAAAAGAAUGAAGCAUAAUUACUGACAUAUACUUCACAACCAAAAUUGACUAAAACAUGCAGUUUAAUAAUACCAUUCUACAUAGAAAAAAAAACUGAAGGAGCUAUAUCCAUAACCUGAAAGAGCACAUGAACAAGUGUAUUUCAAAACAUCUGUUUCCCUAAAAUUACUCAUUCCAUCCCAUAAUUUGAAGGAAAUAAAAACCAGCACCAAUAUUGACUUCCACAGGAUACAUUUAAGUGAGAACGAUAAGAAAAUUUGAUACGAAUGUGACUCACUUGAUCCUGGCUUCUCGACCUCUCUGACAAUGUGAGUCAUACCAGCCUUGUAACCCAAGAAGGCAGUAAGCUUGGGUGACUUGGAUGGGUCAUCCUUAGGGAAUGACUUCACUGCACAGGUAAAAAUUACAAAUGUUAAAAAAUCAGAUUCUGAUAUGAGGGAAUAAACAUAGAUCAAGUCACUUGUAUUCUCACAAUCAAGUUCUCCACUCAAACAAUAACACUUGUAUAUGAAUUUUAAAAACUUGACUACAUAUCACUAUUUGAUUGGAAAACAUCAUGAAAUGGGUGUAAGGAAAUUGUUGCAAGUUUGUAAUCAACAAUUUAAAGCAAAAACAUGAGGAGGAUCCAUUCACCAAAAAAAUUACAACAUAACAUCCUCGUAGUUUUGUUUCACAAAUUCACAGCAGCAAUACUUGGCAAUUGAAACAACAGAUGCCCAGAUACAAAGAACAAACCUUUUCCCCUGUGACGUGCAGCACGCUUCCUAGGGAGAAAUCCCAGUGACCCAUGUCUGGGGUGCUCGAACUUCCUGUGAGACAUCCUUCUCCUUCUCCUUCAAAAUCAAAACAAAAAUACAAAUCAAUGGAGAUUCCAGAAUGAUGCAUUAAACACAACAAUUGAUAAUAAUCGCGUUAAGAAUCAGAAAUGCAAGAGAAAACACGGAAUCAACAAGUUUGGUUGAAAAAUGGAUUGUCGUACUGAGAAUCUUGAAACGAAAAUAAUGAAGACAACGAAGGAAGCAAUGGCAGGUGAGAAAAUGGGGGAAAAUGGUGGAGAAGAUGAGAUUUGGAAGAGAACCUGCAGCAGCGGCGAGUGAAGACCUGAGUUGCAGGAACUGAGCUAAAACCCUAAUUUCUCUCUGAUUUUAUUUGUUGUGGCUGGGCUGCUAAAGUUCUAUGGGCUUUUGUUUCUUGUUGGGUUUGGGAUGGACCUUCUAGCUUGGAGCUUGGACUCAUUUUUUCCAACAAAAUGAAUGGAGCUAGGAAAAAAAUUGUAAGAAAUUAAAAUGAAAAAGAAGUUUUAUUUUUAGAGCAUAAUGUAUAUGUAUAUUCACUAACAUGGUAACCAAGUGAGCUGGUGUAGUGGUUCAGCACUUCAUCCUUUAAGCAAGUAGUUGAGGGUUUGAAUCCUAACUCUUGCGAAUAGAGGAAACUCCUUGGCCAGCCCCCUACCGCUUAGUGCGCUGACCGCGGGGCGAGGGAUUAGUCUCACGGCUGUCGGUUGUAUGGAUACUUUAGUCAAGACCAAAACAAUAUUCACUAAUAUGGUCAGAUAAAUCUUCCAUAUCUUAUCUUCUUUGGAAUUUGAUUAGUUGAGUGUGUAGAUAUUACAAUUUUAAUUCAACGAUAUAGAUGUCGUGGAAAUUUCCCUAUUUAGAACUUUGAUUUUGUGAAAAUUUCCUUCUUGAAGAUGAGAAAAAGGGUAAUAAUAUCUCCAACUAAAAUUUUAGCGAUGGGGACAAGGAUCGUGCUUCCCAACCGACGAUUUCCCUGCCUUGCAUACUGGAAUGGAACCAUAAAGUUGGUCGAGGGGAGUGGAAAUUUAACACUUUAGUACUAGUUUAUUGAGGAAGUUUUUCUCUUAACGGGUUUAUUCAUAUGAUAAUCUGGGAAGCAUAUUAAAGUAAGUUGAAAUUAUAUCAUGGGUAAGCAUAACCUCUUACUCAUAAAGUUAAUCUAAAUAACUAAUCGAAAUGGUUUACUAAAAUAAGCUCAAAAUAGAUUAUAAGUAGAAUCUAGUUACAUAUGAUCUGCUACACACUUGCAUAUGAACCCCUUAAAUCAAUAACCCCAAAAAGUCUGGGCCCUCAUCAAUUCUUAUUAUUGUUCAAUCUGAAAGUGGUGUAUUUUCAUGAAACCCUAGUACAUCCUUAAUCAAUCUGAAAGCAUCACAUCAUUGGGGGUAGGGUCAGAAGGUUUUUUCCCAAUGGACAUUUCUACUAUUUCAUGGAGUUUUCUUCUCUUUUAUGUGAUAGUUCUUUUUCCACAAGGGAGAUAUUUUUUUUCAAGUUUUUGUUCUCCAUUUUUACUUCUCCAAUCCACCUCUUCCACCACCACCCAUUACCACCCCCCACCACAUCCACCAACAUGAUGAAGCGCGAACUAAAUUAGAAAAAAAAAAAUAUAUAUAUAUAUAUAUAUAUAUAUAUAUAUAUAUAUAUAUAUAGUUUUCACUUGGAAGUUAUUAGCAUGUUUCUUUGAUGACUUUGGAGUUUGAGAGUUUUGUAAGACUAUUAGUGUUUUAGCUUCAUGUAAGACGAGUAAGCAUGUAUUUCUAGUUUCAUCAUCCUAUUGCAUUGCAGUAUCACUCUUAAGGAUUCCGAGUUCUACGAGUAAGCAUGUAUUGUCUAUGAUUUCCUCAUCUUAUUGCAUUGUUGUAUCAACCUUAGGGUUUCAGAGGGAACAUUGUGUAAGUGUCGUAGGGCAACACUUUGGAUUUUAAUCUAUGCAUCUUUGAAAAGAAAAGAAAAAGACAGUGUUUCCUAUGUGAAAACCCUUCUCACUAAAUCAAUUUAUGGUCACAAUUAACGGGAAAUGCAUGAGCAUCAAGACGAAUAAACUCUCAUAUACUCUAGAAAAGAGAAGCCUCCUACAUGGGAAGAUCUGGCGUCAUGUAAAAUGGUCUAAAAUGGUAUGCAAAUAAAAAGUGAAGAGAAGAGAAGGUUUCUGAUGUCCAUGGGUACAGAAAUUAUGUAGAGUUACUUUGAAGCACUUGGAUCAUUGAUCAAACUACUUGUCCUAAUACACCAGAGCAAAAUGGUGUUGCUUAGUGAAAAAAUCAACACUUAGAAGAGCUAGUAAGAGUGUCAUUAUUGGAAGCCCAUAUACCUUAGUUGUAUAGGGGAGAAGCUUUAUUGUGGCUGCAUAGAACUUCAACUUCAACACGAUCCUUCUAUUUAGUAAGAUCGCCCCUUUUCAGUACUCUCAAACACGUAAAUUAUCAAUGACUAAUCAUAUAAAAUGUCAAAAUUGAACAAAAUACUAAUCCCUCAAAUUAAUCAGGUUCCCUUUUCACUAUUCUCAAACUAAACUGAAAAUCCAUGACUUAUAAAUUGUCACAUUGAAGGAAACACAGACCAAGUUCAAAAGACAAGGUAAUAAAAAACAAGUUCAAAACUAAGUUCCAGAUUUUCCACCAAAAUAGCAUAAUUAAGCUUUCAGGCGUCCAUAGAACUUCUGCUUCUCUUGUGUUGACUGGAAGCGCCCAUGUCCAAACUUCGAAGAGGUGUCAAUAAACUUGAGUUUGAUCUCCUCCAAAGCAACACGAGAAGUCUGCGUAAGCAAGGAUUGACGCAAUGUGACAACCCUCUUCUUGGGGCCAACACAGCCUCCCUUGAUCAUGAGGAAAUCAUCCUUCACAAUACCGUAGUGUGGGAAUCCACCCAUUGGGGUAAUUUCCUUCUCAGUCCUGGAUCAGAAAUCAAGUCGGAUUAGUUUGAGCCUCAAUGCUAGACUAAUGUGAAACAAACAAUCAGCAUAUUACUUGCUGUCCAGUGCUUUAUUGCAUGCAAUAAUAAAUAAUCAGCAAGUUACUCACCUAU